RNAcentral lists this ribosomal RNA (519 nucleotides) under uncultured bacterium. RNAcentral describes it as "bacterial SSU rRNA". It matches the Rfam family "Bacterial small subunit ribosomal RNA", at positions 10 to 524 of the family's 1533-position model. The record is from RNAcentral.
AGUUUGAUCCUGGCUCAGAUUGAACGCUGGCGGCAGGCCUAACACAUGCAAGUCGAGCGGUAGAGAGAAGCUUGCUUCUCUUGAGAGCGGCGGACGGGUGAGUAAUGCCUAGGAAUCUGCCUGGUAGUGGGGGAUAACGUUCGGAAACGGACGCUAAUACCGCAUACGUCCUACGGGAGAAAGCAGGGGACCUUCGGGCCUUGCGCUAUCAGAUGAGCCUAGGUCGGAUUAGCUAGUUGGUGAGGUAAUGGCUCACCAAGGCGACGAUCCGUAACUGGUCUGAGAGGAUGAUCAGUCACACUGGAACUGAGACACGGUCCAGACUCCUACGGGAGGCAGCAGUGGGGAAUAUUGGACAAUGGGCGAAAGCCUGAUCCAGCCAUGCCGCGUGUGUGAAGAAGGUCUUCGGAUUGUAAAGCACUUUAAGUUGGGAGGAAGGGUUGUAGAUUAAUACUCUGCAAUUUUGACGUUACCGACAGAAUAAGCACCGGCUAACUCUGUGCCAGCAGCCGCGGUAAU